This 118-nucleotide ribosomal RNA is filed under the name Pteropus alecto (black flying fox). Lineage: Eukaryota; Metazoa; Chordata; Mammalia; Chiroptera; Pteropodidae. The record is from RNAcentral.
AUCUAUGACCACGCUAACCAGAACAAACCUGAUCUCAUCUGAUCUCGGAAGCUAAGCAGGGUCGGACCUAGUUAGUACUUGGAUGGGAGACCACCUAGGGGGUUGCCUCGCCUAAAAC